This 440-nucleotide ribosomal RNA is filed under the name uncultured bacterium. RNAcentral's name for it is "partial 16S ribosomal RNA". It matches the Rfam family "Bacterial small subunit ribosomal RNA", at positions 338 to 795 of the family's 1533-position model. The record is from RNAcentral.
CCUACGGGGGGCUGCAGUGGGGAAUAUUGCACAAUGGGGGGAACCCUGAUGCAGCGACGCCGCGUGAGUGAAGAAGUAUUUCGGUAUGUAAAGCUCUAUCAGCAGGGAAGAAAAUGACGGUACCUGACUAAGAAGCCCCGGCUAACUACGUGCCAGCAGCCGCGGUAAUACGUAGGGGGCAAGCGUUAUCCGGAUUUUAUGGGGGUAAAGGGAGCGUAGACGGGAGAGCAAGUCUGAAGUGAAAGCCCGGGGCCCAACCGCGGGACUGCUUUGGAAACUGCCCGGCUAGAGUGCUGGAGAGGUAAGCGGAAUUCCUAGUGUAGCGGUGAAAUGCGUAGAUAUUAGGAGGAACACCAGUGGCGAAGGCGGCUUACUGGACAGUAACUGACGUUGAGGCUCGAAAGCGUGGGGAGCAAACAGGAUUAGAUACCCGAGUAGUC